GACAGAGGGUGCAAACGUUGUUCGGAAUUACUGGGCAUAAAGCGCGUGUAGGCGGCCCUGCAAGUCGGAUGUGAAAUCCCACGGCUCAACCGUGGAAGUGCAUUCGAAACUGCAGGGCUAGAGUCCUGGAGAGGAAGGUGGAAUGCUUGGUGUAGAGGUGAAAUUCGUAGAUAUCAAGCGGAACACCGGUGGCGAAGGCGGCCUUCUGGACAGUGACUGACGCUGAGACGCGAAAGCGUGGGGAGCAAACAGG
Molecule: ribosomal RNA, 253 nt
Filed under: uncultured bacterium
Lineage: Bacteria
Description: partial 16S ribosomal RNA
Rfam family: Bacterial small subunit ribosomal RNA
Source: RNAcentral